Non-coding RNA from Mycena epipterygia, 91 nucleotides. The record is from the annotation of a GenBank genome assembly. Lineage: Eukaryota; Fungi; Basidiomycota; Agaricomycetes; Agaricales; Mycenaceae.
GCGCCGUUGGUGUAGUGGUAACAUACGACCUGAUCUUGAUGGGAUGCAGAAAUAUUAGGUUAGGUCCUGGGUUCAAAUCCCAGACGGCGUG